This 414-nucleotide ribosomal RNA is filed under the name Nitrospinaceae bacterium. Its description in RNAcentral is "partial 23S ribosomal RNA". It matches the Rfam family "Bacterial large subunit ribosomal RNA", at positions 2518 to 2925 of the family's 2925-position model. Lineage: Bacteria; Pseudomonadati; Nitrospinota; Nitrospinia; Nitrospinales; Nitrospinaceae. The record is from RNAcentral.
UUGGCACCUCGAUGUCGGCUCACCGCAUCCUGGGGCUGAAGCAGGUCCCAAGGGUUGGUCUGUUCGCCCAUUAAAGCGGUACGCGAGCUGGGUUUAGAACGUCGUGAGACAGUUCGGUCCCUAUCCUUCGUGGGUGUUGGAUAUUUGAGGAGAGCUGCUCCUAGUACGAGAGGACCGGAGUGGACGAACCUCUAGUUUUCCGGUUGUGAUGCCAAUUGCAUUGCCGGGUAGCUACGUUCGGAAAGGAUAACCGCUGAAAGCAUCUAAGCGGGAAGCCAACUCCAAAAUUAGAUAUCCCCUCCUCCUUCGGGAGGACUGUAGACCCCUUGUAGACUACAAGGUUGAUAGGCCGGGUGUGUAAGCACAGCAAUGUGUUCAGCUAACCGGUACUAAUUGGUCGUGAGGCUUGACCUU